RNAcentral lists this small RNA (552 nucleotides) under Pongo abelii (Sumatran orangutan). Its description in RNAcentral is "processed transcript". Lineage: Eukaryota; Metazoa; Chordata; Mammalia; Primates; Hominidae. The record is from RNAcentral.
AUAAGGAUGUCAUCACUUAUUUAGCCUAACUUCUAUUACUGAAUCUAAUUAGAUCUAGUUUGCUUCUCAUCUGUUAGAGAUUUGAAAACGGGUAACCCAGGCUAAUUAGACUUCCAGGUUAAAUAGAAACACAUUGCUGUUCUGGCCACUGCAUUUGACACGACAUUGGGAGGUAGAAAAUUUGAUGAAGUGUUAGUAAAUCACUUCUGUGAAGAAUUUGGGAAGAAAUACAAGCUAGACAUUAAGUCCAAAAUCCGUGCAUUAUUACGACUCUCUCAGGAGUGUGAGAAACUCAAGAAAUUGAUGAGUGCAAAUGCUUCAGAUCUCCCUUUGAGCAUUGAAUGUUUUAUGAAUGAUGUUGAUGUAUCUGGAACUAUGAAUAGAGGCAAAUUUCUGGAGAUGUGCAAUGAUCUCUUAGCUAGAGUGGAGCCACCACUUCGUAGUGUUUUGGAACAAACCAAGUUAAAGAAAGAAGAUAUUUAUGCAGUGGAGAUAGUUGGUGGUGCUACACGAAUCCCUGCGGUAAAAGAGAAGAUCAGCAAAUUUUUUGGU